GUGGGGAAUCUUGCACAAUGGGCGAAAGCCUGAUGCAGCGACGCCGCGUGAGCGAUGAAGCCCUUCGGGGUGUAAAGCUCUUUCGACGGGAACGAUAAUGACGGUACCCGGAGAAGAAGCUGCGGCUAACUACGUGCCAGCAGCCGCGGUAAUACGUAGGCAGCGAGCGUUGUUCGGAAUUACUGGGCGUAAAGAGUGUGUAGGCGGUGUUCCCAGUCUGUUGUGAAAUCUCCCGGCUUAACUGGGAGGGUGCAGCGGAAACUAGAAUGCUAGAGGGUGGGAGAGGUAAGCGGAAUUCCUGGUGUAGCGGUGAAAUGCGUAGAUAUCAGGAGGAACACCUGUGGUGUAGACAGCUUACUGGACCACUUCUGACGCUGAGACACGAAAGCGUGGGUAGCAAACAGGAUUAGAAACCCUUGUAGUCC
RNAcentral lists this ribosomal RNA (425 nucleotides) under uncultured bacterium. RNAcentral describes it as "bacterial SSU rRNA". It matches the Rfam family "Bacterial small subunit ribosomal RNA", at positions 354 to 796 of the family's 1533-position model. The record is from RNAcentral.